UUGAACAUAUCUUAUUAUUUCCCUAGGACUGACAGUAGCUCUACUAAUGCUUCUACAGAAGUCAAUUUUACGUAAAUAUACCUUGGAUUUUAACCCAGGUUUGCUUUUAGAUACUUAGUGCUUUUCUGUUUGAGAACUGUAAGUCAAUCUUUUCCAGUGAUUGCCCAUGAUCCCUGUCAUAGUAUUUUUGACUGUUGAUCGACACCAGCUACACUCACAGACACUGCACAGGCAUUUGCUUUUGUAUUUACUGACUGCUUUGCAUGGGCCCCCUACAGCCCAGCCAGCUGCUGAGAAUAUAUAAACCAGCCUUUGCAGUGAGAACUGAACUGCAUGAGACAGCAGGGGGAGCAAGAUGAAGUCACAGACUCAGGUCCUCAUAUCCCUGCUGCUAUGGGUGUCUGGUGCCUGUGCAGACAUCGUGAUGACCCAGUCUCCAUCCUCCCUGGCUGUAUCAGCAGGAGAGAAGGUCUCCAUCAGCUGCAGGUCCAGUCAGAGCCUUUAUCACAGCAGCAGCAAAAAGAACUUAUUGUCCUGGUACCAGCAGAAACCAGGACAGUCUCCUAAGCUGCUAAUCUACUGGGCAUCCAGCCGGUACACUGGGGUCCCUGAUCGCUUCACAGGCAGUGGAUCUGGGACAGAUUUCAUUCUCAGCAUCAGCAGUGUACAGGAUGAAGACCUGGCAUCUUAUUACUGUAUGCAAGGUCUUAGUACUCCUCCCACAGUGCUUCAGCCUCCAACACAAACCUCCUUGAGAGUCUCACCAGCUGCCUGCACCACACACAGCCAUGGGCCUGCACACUUCCCCCUUCUGUGUAAUAGCAGGUGUGUCUGAAAAGUGGUGAAUAGUUUCCCGAGCCCAGUACAAAUUAUGGGUUCAAUGACUCUUUUGGCUUUUGGUAUGAAAAUACAAAAAGAACUCAAGAUGAUCAUUUAUUUCCUUCUUUAGAAAUUGGGGAACAUACAGGAGGCCAUCAGAUCACUGUUAGAAAUCUGAAAGCUGAUAUAGAUGUUUCAAAACAUCAAACUACUAUUGGAACACCAGAAGUGUGACAAGGAUGAUAAGGAUAACUAGUCUAUAGAGUUCUGUGUAGAACAGACUAAAGUAAAUGGGCUAGACUUGACAAAGAACAAGAAGCAAAAAAAGAGAGAGAUACAAAGGACCCCAGAAGAAGAAUGAGGCUGUUCAAGCUGAGCCCCAGGAGCAGAGAGGAAACAUCUUCUAAAAGACUGAGGACAGAUGUUUUGUACUCAAAUACAGCAAAUGCAAACUCCUGCCCUACAACCCUAGAAGACACACACCGUACCAGCCACACAUCUUUACUGAGUCCCAUAUUUCAGAUGUUUUAUAACAAAAGUUCAGAUUGAGAAAUGUACUAGAGGGAUUGAUUUUAGAGGGGGGAAAAGGGCUGAAAAUGAAAUCUGAAGCAUCAAUAUACCAAUUUGAAAACUUCACAGAAGCAUCAAGAAUGAGAGAGAAAGCAGACCAAGUCCAUAGUAAUGCUUGGCCAAAAGGAUGGGGAAUGUCUGAAUCCCCUGGGAAAGACAGGCAAGGGCAGUUGUUAGGAUUAGUGAGUGUCAGGAUCCAUCUAUGUGAAGACAAAAAUGCCUUGGCAGGAAUAUUGGAAGAUAGUGUCUUUAAGAUUUAGGACUGAAAAGUGAGUGGUGUGCUCAGCUAUGAUAGAGGAAAACCAAAGGAUAUAAAGAGACAGCAGUUAAUGAAGAAAGAUCUUGUGCUAGGUAUAAGAUUCUGUUAAGAGUUGCUGCAUUGUCUUUUUCUGUGGCCGGUGACUAGGAUCAGGAGAAAAGAAAAGAAGAGCUUCUCUAUCAGGAGACUUGGGAAGGGGCAUGCAUGCAGAGGGUGGAGGAAGAGAGGGAUUGGGACUGGAGGAGG
This is a non-coding RNA of Meriones unguiculatus (Mongolian gerbil), 1894 nucleotides long. The record is from the annotation of a RefSeq genome assembly. NCBI's taxonomy places the organism in Eukaryota, Metazoa, Chordata, Mammalia, Rodentia, Muridae.